Molecule: transfer RNA, 73 nt
Filed under: Nitrospiraceae bacterium
Lineage: Bacteria; Pseudomonadati; Nitrospirota; Nitrospiria; Nitrospirales; Nitrospiraceae
Description: tRNA-Thr
Rfam family: tRNA
About the family: Transfer RNA (tRNA) molecules are approximately 80 nucleotides in length. Their secondary structure includes four short double-helical elements and three loops (D, anti-codon, and T loops).
Source: RNAcentral
GCCACCGUAGCUCAACUGGCGGAGCAAUGCAUUCGUAAUGCGUAGGUUAGGGGUUCGACUCCCCUCGGUGGCU